This 586-nucleotide small RNA is filed under the name Pan troglodytes (chimpanzee). Its description in RNAcentral is "processed transcript". Lineage: Eukaryota; Metazoa; Chordata; Mammalia; Primates; Hominidae. The record is from RNAcentral.
CGCGAAACAUGGCGGGGCAGGACGCUGGCUGCGGCCGUGGCGGCGACGACUACUCAGAGGACGAGGGCGACAGCAGCGUGUUCAGGGCGGCUGUGGAGGUGUUCGGGAAGCUGAAGGACCUAAACUGCCCCUUCCUCGAGGGUCUGUAUAUCACAGAGCCAAAGACAAUUCAGGAACUGCUGUGCAGCCCCUCAAAGUACCGCUUGGAGAUCCUAGAGUGGAUGUGUACCCGGGUCUGGCCCUCACUGCAGGACAGGUUCAGCUCACUGAAAGGGGUCCCAACAGAGGUGAAGAUCCAAGAAAUGACGAAGCUGGGCCAUGAGCUGAUGCUGUGUGCGCCAGAUGACCAGGAGCUCCUCAAGGGCUGUGCCUGCGCCCAGAAGCAGCUACACUUCAUGGACCAGUUGCUCGAUGCCAUCCGGAGCCUGACUAUUGGGUGCUCCAGUUGCUCGAGGGAGAAGAAUGAGGCCUUGCUGGGGGAGCUCUUCUCUAGCCCCCACCUGCAGAUGCUCCUGAAUCCAGAGUGCGACCCGUGGCCCCUGGACAUGCAGCCCCUCCUCAACAAGCAGAGUGAUGACUGGCAGUG